Non-coding RNA from Paramuricea clavata, 4785 nucleotides. The record is from the annotation of a GenBank genome assembly. Lineage: Eukaryota; Metazoa; Cnidaria; Anthozoa; Malacalcyonacea; Plexauridae.
CAGGCUACAUCCCUACCAGUGCCCAGCGCGGUAGAAUUCAAUAUGGCGUCCGAGAUGAACAUUUUUGUAGUUACUGAUUUCAUAUAAAAGUAAAUUUUUCAUUGGUCGCAUAAAAAGUAAAUUGUUCAAAAAAUUUUCAAGUAUAGAGGGGAAUAUAUCAGAUAUGCCACUGAACGUUCUUCGUGAUUUGGUGCGAGGAGCAAGUCGUCGUGUAAUGACUGGAAAGAGAGGAAACAAGAAUUUCUACAAAGGUAUCAGUGUAUCACGGGCUAUUUAAUGUAAACUAUUUAAUGUAAACUAGCAGAGAUUAAUACAUUUUAUCAUUGUAAACGUAAAUUUAUACUUUAGACUCAAAUUUUUUAACUCUUCAACAUUUACAAUAAUGAGACAUGAGUUAGGGGCGACGUCCAUAUUCAAGUUGCCACGCAAAACGUCAAAUUGACGUUUUGAGUGGGUGGGUGGGUUAGAACUGUAGUGGUGUGACGUUUUUACCGUGGCAAUAUGAAUAUUUUGCAAAACUACAACGCUAUAUGUAGAAUAUAUAUUAAAAAUAACCGUCAAUAUUUAUUAAAAUAGUAUCAAUACGCGAUGGAAAAGUUAAUAUAUUUACACUAUUCAGUAUCAAUAUUGCAUAUUAAAAAACAACUUACUUGGUGGAAUUUUUGUCUUUCUUGUUUCUUACAUAUUUAUAUAUGUUUAUAAUAUUAACCCAAUGAUAUAUUAAAAGGUAAUUUUGUUUCACAAACGAGCACAGUACAGUAGUUAUAAACUUUGAUACUUGGAGCGUUCAAACCCCAUCUAAUUUUGAAAUAUUCAUUACGUCACACUUGACGUUAUCAAGGGUGGGUGGGUUGUCAUAAAAACGUCAAUUUGACGUUUUGCGUGGCAACUUGAAUAUGGACGUCGCCCCUUAAAGCCACUCCAAAUUAGACCUUAGUCCCCCGUCCUCCGCCCGCGUCUCCUAGAACUGGCCGCAUGAUUUGUCCAUUAUUGCGAAGUUGUUUCCAUUAUUUGACUUUUGUGACAAACAAUUACGAAAAACUACAGUUUUCAAAUAAUCUGUCGUUCAAGAAAUACAUAUUUAUGAUACAACACGUAAAAAUCGAAAUGAAAUUCUUGACACUUCUAUCAAAGACCGUGAAUUUUUUCCCUACGAACUGCUGAGCUACACACUUCCGUUACAAGUUUUGAUUUUUGAACGUCAAAACCGAUAAGGUUAAUAUCCUGGCUUUCAUUUCUGCAUACAAAACUCUAACACAUUGCGUAGAAACGUGACUGAAUGGAUAUUUAAAACGAGUAUCUAUUUCAUGAAAUAAUGGGCCGUGUUUCAUCUUUCAGACACCAUAAUGGAUAAUGGAAGUGGACCGCCCGCCCGCUUGUAAUUUGAAAUAAGGGCCGGACAGGAAACUAAAGUUUAAUUUGGAGUGGCCUAAUAAAUAAGGCCACUCCAAAUUAGACUUUAGUUUCCCGUCCGUUUACGUUUCAACUGUCAACUAUCAAUAUUGGGCUAUUCCAUUUAAUAUCCGUACCCCACCCCCCCUGUCGAGGAUCCCUGGAAUUCUUCAGGGGUAAAGGGUUUUGAGCUUGGAAUUCUUCAGGGGUAAAGUGUUUUGAGCUUGGAAUUCUUCAGGGGUAAAGUGUUUUGAGUUUGGAAUUCUUCAGGGGUAAAGGGUUUUGAGCUUGGAAUUCUUUAGGGAUGAAGGGUUUUGAGCUAGGAAUUCUUCUGCCCAGGUAAAGGGUUUUGAGCUUGGAAUUUUGGAAUUCUUCAGGGGUAAAAGGUUUUGAGCUUGGAAUUCUUCAGGGGUAAAGAGUUUUGAGCUUGGAAUUUUGGAAUUCUUCAGGGCUAAACAGUUCUGAGCUUGGAAUUCUUCAGGGGUAUAACUAUGAAAAACAUGUAUCCUCGACAGGGGGAGGGGUACGGAUAUUAAAUGGAAUAGCCCAUUCCAAAUUUAGAAACACAUUCAAAUUGGGUGGGGAUUAGCUUGCAAACACUAAAUCCGUAAUUAAAUUUGUCUGAAUUAAAUUUGACAUAUGAAACAGACCUUAGUGAAGUUCUAACAUACUGUAAAUUUGCGAGUUUUGCGUUUAUGGUGGUCAAAUUCAGUAUUGUUUGCAAUGUUUGAACUAACUUUGUAGCGUUUUCGCGGGAAAAAUAAUUGUAAUCCGUCAAAUGUUUCCAGGAAAAUCAUGUAAAGUUUGAAAGUCCAAACAUGUUAUGUUUCGUGUCCAAUUAGAUCGCGUUUUCUCAUGACGUGUUUCCACUUAGUUGCAAUCGACGGUAAAUAACCCACCCUGGCCACCCACAUUUAGCAAAAAGCUAAAUCUGUUCUACUUUCAGCAGGGUUUAGGGUUAUACACACAACACAUAUUAGGGGCCAUCGACAAAUAGAUUUCAUCCACUGAAUCACUGAUCGUGGACUUGUUCUGUGAUGGUGUUCACCCCUAACCCCCCCCCCCCUCAUCGCGGACCAACAUGAGAAAAUAUCAGAAUUUUGGGCAUAUACACUCGAAGGUAUUAGAACGCUGUUUUGACAACGAAUAUAGACCCAUACUGUGAUACAUAAACAAACUAGUUUAACCCAUUAAGCUGCAGAGCUUCCCCGUCGACAAGUAAAAUCGUCUGGCAUUAGACAAGUAAAAAAUAAGUAGGGCGCAUUGCGGCUCAAUGGGUUAACUGGAGACAUUGUCAGAUUUUUUGGUCAACCCAUUAAGCUGCAGAGCUUCUCCAUGGACGAGUAAAAUUGUCUGGCGUUAGACAAGUAAAAAAAAUAAGUAGGGCGCACUGGGGUGCAUUGUGGCUCAAUGGGGUAAAACUUAAAUUAAUAAACAUAGGCGUACCGGGCGGGGGGGGGUCGGUAGCCCCCCCAGUUUGUUGGGCAGUCGGGCAAUAUUCGAUGAACAGUCGGGCAAUUUUGGUUUAUUAUAAAAAUAAAUGGGACAAAUUAAAGUCCCCAAAAUAAUUUUUCCGGAAAAAAUUUUUUCGGUAAUAGUCGGGCACAAUCCCGAAAAGUCGGGCAAAUUUCUUUCCGCCCCCCUAAUUUUUUCCUUCCGCCCCCCUAAUUUUUUCCUUCCGGUACGCCCAUGAUUAAUAAACAUUCAAAUAGUGUUUUGUGGUAUCCUAAGGGCUAUUUGUAAGUCUGAAAAGAAAUUAAAUAAAUAGCUUUAAAGAGGCUGUCAAGUCCGUUCUGCACAUGCGCGUGUUUUAUUGACAUUUUUGUUUCAAACAGUAGAUAAUUUAAUUGAAAUUCCGAUAUGUGGGCCCACAAGUUAGCUCAUUACGCAUUCAGAAUAUAUCACAGAAGGAAAAAUUGAACUACUAAAGCAAAAAUUUAGCCCCAAAACAACAAAUUUGUCAUGUCAUGUAUUUUCAUUUAUAUGUACAUUUCCUAUGUAUUUGGAAUGUCAAAAGGACGUAACAGUCCUUUUGACAUUCCAAAUACAUAGGAACUUGUAAUAGUAAAUUACACUAUUGUAACUCUGCAAAAUAGUGCAUUUUCUGACAUGUGAAGCAUGAACCUGGUAAAUCGAAUCCUUGCAAAAGAAAAGAGCAAAAAGUUAUGCUAUACAGGGUGUAUAAAAAAACUGAACAGAUUUGAAAUUGCUCUCAAUUUUGAAAAAAACCCAGCUCGUUGUGUCAAGUUUUUAUUACUAUAGAUGCCUUGUGUACCCAUAAUGUAGAAUAAUGAAAAAAAAUGCUGGAACUCAAAUUUUGUAAACCAGGGGGGUGUUUAUUUUCCACCAAAUUAAGAAUGGCUUGCGCACGACAUUUAAAAGCUUUACUCGUAUUUUGAGUUAAUGGAUGGAAAAUGUGUUGGGUUUUUAUUUACUGUACAAAAUUUCAGACAAUUUGCUUUAGUUUAAGUUCCUUUAACUAUUCAUUUUUUCCUAAAAAAAUCAGUCUUUUGCAUGCUUAAUUAAUGUCUUUACCUAAUUUGCAUAUUGCUGCAAUGUAUGCAAAUUAGGCAAAUGCCUAAUUAAGCAUGCAAAAGGCUACUUUUUUAGAAAAAAAUGCAAGUUUGCGUGAACGUUAAAGGACUUAAACUGAAGCAAAUUGUCUGAAUUUCGUGCACCAAUUAAACACCCAACACAGUUUUCACCCAUUAACUCAAAAUACGAUUAAAGCUUUUUAAGAAAUCGAAAUUUGGUUUCUGAGUGCCAUGCCGAAUGACUAUUUCAACAAUGACUGUUUUAUGCCGAAUGACUAUUUCAAAAAUGACUGUUUCACGCCGAAUGAAAUUUCAAUAAUGACUGUUUCACGCCGAAUGAAAUUAGAAUAUCAUAAUAUCGAAUAUCAUAAUAGCAUAACCGAACUUCAUAAAUGCAAUUUCCAAUGGCAUAAUUGAAUAUAUGAAUUUUGGCGGAUAUCACACCUCAUAAUCUUCUAGUAACAGAUAUCAAUUUAACGAAGAUAGUUAGACGGCUUCUUACGGUAUACUGAUUUAAAAACGUGAGGCUUGUUUGAAAAAUAAAGGUUAAAAUACCCUUUUUCGAGACCCCACUGUCCUGCAUGGGUUCCUUCCGGCGCCCCUGCAUGUGUAUACUGCCAUCCCAUUGUCAUUAAUAUGGCUAAAUAUUUAAUGGCGCAUGGCUAUCUGAUAAUUAUUAAUGGUUUUAAAUUAUUAUCAUGCAACUACAUGGUCAGUGAUUCAGAUAUCUUCACAAUCCCAAGUAAUGCGUAAUACUGUUCUUUACUAUGAAGAUAGAUGUUUUUGUUUUUCAAAUGAUCUUGUGUUUACCUUGUUUAGGACGUGGAGUUAAACCAACAGGAUUUCAUACAAAGAAAGG